Diceros bicornis minor is the source of this 873-nucleotide long non-coding RNA. RefSeq lists it as uncharacterized. NCBI's taxonomy places the organism in Eukaryota, Metazoa, Chordata, Mammalia, Perissodactyla, Rhinocerotidae. The record is from RefSeq and is a predicted model, not a curated record. The transcript is spliced from 3 exons.
AGAGUCUCUGGAAGGAACUCCAGGAGACAGUGUGGUCUCCACAGCGUGAGGCAGCCAGGGAGAUGCAAACAGGUCUGCUGUAGAUGCUGGCGAUGAGACCGCCUCUUCCCAGCCAGGGCCUGCUGGAUAAGAGUGGCAUUUCUGUGGGUGACUUUAUCCCUCAGGAUCUGAGGCAUGCAGAUUUAUUGGCUGGCAUCCUUCUUACAGUUUCUCCUCAGCACACACUCAAGAGAGGCCAUCUGUCCCUCGAGAGGCUGUUGACCGAAAGAGGCUGAAGAGAGAUGUGGAGCCCACCUACAGUGGGGCCAGCCUUGGGCCUGAUGAGAGCUUGGCCCAGAGCCCCCACGUUCAUCAUUCACAAUGAUGCCUCAGAAACUCUCCCAGAGCCCCUUCACCCUCCAACAGAUGUCACCCCGGAGCCAGCCGUGGAAGAUGUGCAGGAUGAACACAGCAACACCGGCCCCAGGUCCCUCAGCGGGGUCAUCCUGUCAGCGCUGGGGCCUAAGAACUCCUGGACUCGCUGCACUCCUACUGCUUCUGGUCCCGGGGGAACAGGAGCACGGGUGCCGCCUGCAGGAGCAGGUGGAGAAGGACAGCGAGCUGAAGAGGGGCAGCUGCCGACAGCCAGGUGCACACGCUGCAGGAGGAGCUGGACGAGCUGAAGGGAGGGGCUCCCUAACUGAGCAGCCUGCUGCCCCCAGCCGAGUUUGGUGGCAGCAGUGGGAUCCAAAGGAGACACCUGAUGGCUUCGAGGAUGAGAAACACAGUCAUUGGUACCCUCAAAACCUUUGAGUUCUCCAUCUUUUUCACUGUUUCUGAGGGCUGUGGCGUCAGCUGCAGAGCUCCAGCCAGCGGCAGAAGCAAAGCAGUGGG